RNAcentral lists this long non-coding RNA (786 nucleotides) under Dromaius novaehollandiae (emu). RNAcentral describes it as "lncRNA (ENSDNVG00000003636.1)". Lineage: Eukaryota; Metazoa; Chordata; Aves; Casuariiformes; Dromaiidae. The record is from RNAcentral.
UAACCACCCUGCACGAACUCAUUAUGUGGACUGGUAAAGAAAACGGAUUAAACUCCCUUAAAUUAUCUCACAUUUGCCACGGACCACCAGUUACCAUGGAUCAGCUGACAUGCAGCAACUUCUUAACCCGCGGUGAGUUGUUCGUACAGCGAAUCCCCUCAGUGGAGAGAAGCAGAUACACRGGGCAAUGUGCUGAGUAGCUAAUCCUCUGUAACUUUAUGCAGGAGUUUACUAGGCACUAAUUUCCCCUGCUGGCCAGAUCUUAAGUGGUUUACGUAAAAAUCAGGAAGGAAAUCUCUGGCAGAACUCUGAGCAAGGCUCAAGUGUCCUUUCAGCCUUGAAAUCAGAAGCUGUGAUUUAAAAGCAAAACCAAACUAUGAGGAGGAGAUAAACUUUGUUCUCGUUGAAGGACUGUGCAACUGCAGAGUGUUUCCAGGCCUCAGGACAGCCAGCCCACGUGGAGCGUAUAGAUURAACUGGGGAAUUAGUGCGGUGAAAGCAGAAGCAAUGGUCAAUGUUGAAGAUGGAGGAGGUUUUGGAUUCUAAGGGAAAAUGUGCAGUUAUUUCCAGAAAUACUCAAGGGGGUCGCUGCUCGGCAUGUGGACAAGAAGAAAUCUCCUGCAUGUGUCAGCAAGACUCAUAAGCAGAAAGCUAGGUAACAUAGCUGGGCCCUGCUCCAUGACUGUUGUCUUGGACAUGACUGCAUUACAUCCAGAAAAUCAUUACAACCAGAAAAUCAGCUCUCAGWGCAUGCAAGUUUCUGUUCCCUGUUUGAAAGACAGCUGA